RNAcentral lists this long non-coding RNA (248 nucleotides) under Brassica napus (rape). Its description in RNAcentral is "long non-coding RNA (BNAP_LNC020528)". Lineage: Eukaryota; Viridiplantae; Streptophyta; Magnoliopsida; Brassicales; Brassicaceae. The record is from RNAcentral.
UAAACUACUAUACAUCUUCAUCUUAUCCAAUUAAAACUAUGGUGAUGAUUAUUUAUGAUUUAUAUAAAUACAUUAAAAUCCUUUUAAUUAUCAUAAAUUUAAUAAAUUUAUAUCUUACUAAAAUAUAAAUAAUAAAAUAUUUAUACUUAUACGAAAUUAAAUAUAUUUAAAACUUUGAAACUAUUUAUAAAAGUUUUAUACAAUUUUAUAAUUUUAUUUUAAUUUUUUUUAACCUUGAAUGGUAAUUU